AUAAGGCCCAGUAUAAUUUGGUCCCUUCCUCCUUCUCACCCUAAUUUCCCACUGCUCUUCCUCUCCCCCUGCUCCAGCCCCUGGGGGGCUAUGGCUGUUUCACAGACCAAAGCAGUUCUAUCCUUAGGGCCUUUGUUCCUGCUGUUGCCCCUUGGAAGGUUUUCUCCCUCAGAUAUUAACAUGGCUGUCUCCUCACUCUAUUUAUACCUCUGUUCAAAUAUCAACAUGUGGUGAACAGCGUCGAAAGUGACCCUUAAUGAUCUGCCCUCCUGGUAUUCACAUCUUGUGUGAUUCCCUACCCCUUUAGUGUGAGCUGGACCUACUGACUUACUAAUAAUGAAAAGAAUAUUUUAAAAGGGGAGAGAUGUCACCUCUGAGAUCUGAUUAUAAAAUACUAUGACUUCAUCUUGCAUGCUUUUCCUCUCUCCCUUUGUCUCCCUCUCCCUGGCAUUCUUGCUUGUGAGAAAGCAGGCUGCCAUGGUGUGAGCUGCCCUGUGGAGAAGCCCACAUGGCAAGAAACUGAGGGAGACCUUCAGCCAAUAGCCAGUGAGGAACUGAUGCUCUCAGAGAACAGCCUGUAGGAAACUAAUUUCUGCUAAGAACCUUCAGAUGACUGCAGGCCUGGCUGGCAACUCAACUGCAGCCUGAGAGAUCUUGAAGCAGAGGAUUCAGCUAAGCUUCUCCUGGAUUCCCAUUUGACAGAAACUCUGAGAUCAUGAAUACUGUUGUUUUGAACACUAAGUCUUGAGGUAAUUUGUAACACAGCAAUAGAUCACUGAUACCGAAUCCCUGGGAGAAGUCUUCUAUGACUAUGCAAUUUUAAACAGAAUUCUUUGUUGCACAAUGAUCCCCUAACCUUCUUUGUUUUAUUUCAUAGCAUGUAUUUCUUAGACAUUAUUUGAUAUUUUUUUGUUUGCAUAUUUCUUUCUCUCUGCUAGAAUGUAAAGUUUUAUGAAGACGAAACUAUUUUGCUUAUCAUCCUGUUUCCUAGUGCCUACAAGAGUGUCUAACAUUAAAUGGGUGCUCACAUUUGGGUCUCACUUUGUAAUCCAGGCUGGAGUGCAGUGGUUGAUCUUGGCUCACUAUAGCCUCACACUCCCACCAGGCUCCAGAGAUCCCUCAACCUCAGCCUCGUGAAGUACAUGUCACCACAACCAGGUAAUUUAUAUUUUUUGUAGAGAGAGGGUUUCGCUGUGUUGCUUAGCCUGAUCUUGAAGUGCUGGGCUCAAGGGAUCUGCUUGCCUUGGCUUCCCAAAGUGCUGGGAUUAUGGGCGUGGACCACCGUGUCCAGCCUGCUAAACUUUUUCUUAACAUGACAUUUCUCAUUCAACUCUGUAAGUAAGUUUAUGAGGCAGACAUUAUUAUCAUCACUUCCGUUUUGGAGAUGAGGGAGUUAGGAGUAAAGAGGUUUAGUGAUUUAUCAAAGAUCACGCACCUAGCAAACAGGGAAGGAGAAAUUUGAAUCCAUAAAUGUGUGGCUACAGAACCAGAGCUCUCAGGCCAUUUCACUUCCCUGCUUCUCUCACAUGUUGAAUUUACAGUCACUCAGUCCAUGGAAACUCUUUAGGGCCAGGCAGUAUGCCACAUUUCAUUUCAUACUAAACACAGAGUUUUGUUUUAAACUCUGGUUCAGGACUUUCUGUUUUCAGUGGUGUACUAGAACAAUGUUAGCUAGCAUCUCUUCCCAAUUCUGAGUUUAGGACAUCACACGGUAACUUGACAUAAGCUGUGGUAGGAGUCUUUAUACCACAGAAUUUAGCAAUACUGUGAAUCGGGGGCUUUUUAUCUUCUAGAGAGCUGGUUUACCAGCACACUAAGUACUGGGCUGUGUUUACUCCCAUUCCUUGUAUCUUGUUAGAUCUGUCCCUUUCAGUUGCUUGUUAGGAACGUGUUGGAUCAUUAUUUGUCAUCCAACAUAUUUGCUCUUCCUAUCCACUUUAUGUCAUUUCACAAAUGGGAUAAGUAUAUUUUCUUUACUUACCAUGAACUAAGCUUUAAGGGCUGGGAGUAGAAACUUUUCUCCAGGUUCCCUUGCUCCAUUCCUUAAUACAUUCAUUUCUCUACUAAUAGGCAAUAUUCCUUGAGUAUUUUCUAUGUGUCAAACAGUAUUCUAAGCCCUUUACAUGUAUUAAAUUAUUGUACCCCCUCAGCAACUGAUGAGUUAUGGAUUUGAGGCACAAGAAAGGUUGAAUUAUGUUCUUUAGGGGUUUACAUAACUAGGUGAUGCCUGAACUGGGAUUCAAAUCCAGUUUGCUAGUUUGCUAUCCUCUCUUUACUUAAUUGCACUACAAUCCAAACUUUGAGGCUUUUUCUGAUCUACAAGAAUGCCACAGAAGAGUUUGGAUUCAGUGAGCAGUGAGAUUCAGCAGUAGUAAGGGGCCAUUAUGUUUUUGAAUGGGAGAGUGAUACUUUUCACACAGAACUUAGAAUGUUUUGUUACACUAGAGUAUGACAUAUUGGCCCAAGUAGGAGAAAGGGCAGGAAAAACGCCUGUGGCAUUAUGCCUAUCAUUUAGAGCUUGCUCAUGUCUAUGGAAAUGAAAUGACUUUUUUAAAUGGGGCUUUCACUCCAACUGGAUCAGGCUCCUACUGGCUCAGUCAAGAUGCCAAGGCUCUGUUUAUGCUAUUUCCCUGAUCCAGGGUACAUUCUCUAGCUACUCCAUUUCUUUGUAUAUGAAAAUAGUUAAAAACUAAACUACAGAUAUAACAUUAUUGGGCUCUCCCACAAUAUCAUUCCCCUCAAAUAUUCAUCAUCUGUUUUAUACACUUCUGAUUUAAUCAUUUCCCACAUAUUUAUGAUUUCUCACCAGUGAGUCUUUAAGUUCCUUAAAGGCAGGAACUGCGUCUUAUACUUUGGCAUGCUCUGUAGUGCUGAGAUCACCAGUUACUCCAUAAAUGCUUGUGGACUAUAAAAGUGCAUAAAUAACUCUUCUUUUUUUUUUCCAUGGCAAAGCUCAUUGACAAUAGGUGCCUGGAGUAAUAUAAUUAGGAAGCUCCAAAAUAAAAUUGUGUUAAGGAACUACUAAAUGCUGUAAAGGAAAGUAGAGAAGACAGCCAAUUAGUAUCUACGAGCACCCAUGAUUUCUAUGUAAUAGAAGAAGUCAUUUAUUGGAUUUAGUUGACUUAGUUAGAUUCCUGGCUACAGGCUUUCCCCUGAGUCCUUAAUUGCUCAUUCAAAAGGAAGAAGCAAUGACCCCAUUCAGAGCCAAGUUACAAGGUAUCCAUUAAAAGAUUUGAGAGUGUGGCUAGGGAAUUGUGGUGCCUAAAUGAGGCGGUCAGAACCAAC
This 3285-nucleotide long non-coding RNA is filed under the name Callithrix jacchus (white-tufted-ear marmoset). RNAcentral's name for it is "lncRNA (ENSCJAG00000056377.2)". Lineage: Eukaryota; Metazoa; Chordata; Mammalia; Primates; Cebidae. The record is from RNAcentral.